GCGUUCGUUGUGUAGUGGUCAGCACGCUCGACGCGUAACCGAGAGGUCCGUGGUUCGAUUCCCGGCAAAGGCG
This is a non-coding RNA of Stegodyphus mimosarum, 73 nucleotides long. The record is from Rfam. Lineage: Eukaryota; Metazoa; Arthropoda; Arachnida; Araneae; Eresidae.